Molecule: ribosomal RNA, 253 nt
Filed under: uncultured bacterium
Lineage: Bacteria
Description: partial 16S ribosomal RNA
Rfam family: Bacterial small subunit ribosomal RNA
Source: RNAcentral
UACGUAGGGUGCGAGCGUUGUCCGGAAUUAUUGGGCGUAAAGGGCUCGUAGGCGGUUUGUCGCGUCGGGAGUGAAAACCUCGGGCUUAACUCGGGGCUUGCUUUCGAUACGGGCAGACUAGAGGUAUGCAGGGGAGAACGGAAUUCCUGGUGUAGCGGUGAAAUGCGCAGAUAUCAGGAGGAACACCGGUGGCGAAGGCGGUUCUCUGGGCAUGAUCUGACGCUGAGGUGCGAAAGCGUGGGGAGCAAACAGG